This 433-nucleotide ribosomal RNA is filed under the name uncultured bacterium. RNAcentral's name for it is "partial 16S ribosomal RNA". It matches the Rfam family "Bacterial small subunit ribosomal RNA", at positions 29 to 507 of the family's 1533-position model. The record is from RNAcentral.
AACGAACGCUGGCGGCAUGCCUAACACAUGCAAGUCGAACGAGACCUUCGGGUCUAGUGGCGCACGGGUGCGUAACGCGUGGGAACCUGCCCUUAGGUUCGGAAUACCUCCCCGAAAGGGGUGCUAAUACCGGAUAAUGUCUUCGGACCAAAGAUUUAUCGCCUUUGGAUGGGCCCGCGUUGGAUUAGCUGGUGGGUAGGGUAAAAGCCUACCAAGGCGACGUUCCAUGGCUGGUCUGAGAGAAUGAUCAGCCACACUGGGACUGAGACACGGCCCAGACUCCUACGCGAGGCAGCAGAGGGGAAUAUUGUACAAGGGGCGAAAGUCUGAUCCAGCAAUGCCGCGUGAGUGAUGAAGGCCUUAGGGUUGUAAAGCUCUUUUACCCGGGAGGAUAAUGACAGUACCGGGAGAAUAAGCUCCGGCUAACUCCGUG